AUGAUACUCCCUUCGUCCCAAAAUUCCUGUCUUAACUUUGUCUAGAAAUGGAUGUAUCUAAAUACUAAAUUUGACUAGAUACAUUCGUAUCUAAACAAAUAUAAGAUAAGAAUUUUGGGACGGAGGGAGUACUUU
Molecule: microRNA precursor, 135 nt
Filed under: Hordeum vulgare
Lineage: Eukaryota; Viridiplantae; Streptophyta; Magnoliopsida; Poales; Poaceae
Description: microRNA MIR1122
Rfam family: MIR1120/MIR1122 microRNA precursor family
Source: RNAcentral